RNAcentral lists this ribosomal RNA (460 nucleotides) under uncultured bacterium. RNAcentral's name for it is "partial 16S ribosomal RNA". It matches the Rfam family "Bacterial small subunit ribosomal RNA", at positions 338 to 795 of the family's 1533-position model. The record is from RNAcentral.
CCUACGGGUGGCUGCAGUGAGGAAUAUUGGUCAAUGGACGAGAGUCUGAACCAGCCAAGUAGCGUGAAGGAUGACUGCCCUAUGGGUUGUAAACUUCUUUUAUAUGGGAAUAAAGUGUUCCACGUGUUGGUUUUUGUAUGUACCAUAUGAAUAAGCAUCGGCUAACUCCGUGCCAGCAGCCGCGGUAAUACGGAGGAUGCGAGCGUUAUCCGGAUUUAUUGGGUUUAAAGGGUGCGUAGGUGGUUUAUUAAGUCAGCGGUGAAAGUUUGCGGCUCAACCAUAAAAUUGCCGUUGAAACUGGUAGACGUGAGUAUAGUAGAGGUGGGCGGAAUGCGUGGUGUAGCGGUGAAAUGCAUAGAUAUCACGAAGAACUCCGAUUGCGAAGGCAGCUUACUAGACUAUAACUGACACUGAGGCACGAAAGUGUGGGUAUCAAACAGGAUUAGAUACCCGAGUAGUC